This 253-nucleotide ribosomal RNA is filed under the name uncultured bacterium. Its description in RNAcentral is "partial 16S ribosomal RNA". It matches the Rfam family "Bacterial small subunit ribosomal RNA", at positions 524 to 776 of the family's 1533-position model. The record is from RNAcentral.
UACGUAGGGUGCAAGCGUUAAUCGGAAUUACUGGGCGUAAAGCGUGCGCAGGCGGUUCGCUAAGACAGAUGUGAAAUCCCCGGGCUUAACCUGGGAACUGCAUUUGUGACUGGCGGGCUAGAGUAUGGCAGAGGGGGGUAGAAUUCCACGUGUAGCAGUGAAAUGCGUAGAGAUGUGGAGGAAUACCGAUGGCGAAGGCAGCCCCCUGGGCCAAUACUGACGCUCAUGCACGAAAGCGUGGGGAGCGAACCGG